RNAcentral lists this ribosomal RNA (634 nucleotides) under Pediococcus pentosaceus. Its description in RNAcentral is "bacterial SSU rRNA". It matches the Rfam family "Bacterial small subunit ribosomal RNA", at positions 64 to 674 of the family's 1533-position model. The record is from RNAcentral. Lineage: Bacteria; Bacillati; Bacillota; Bacilli; Lactobacillales; Lactobacillaceae.
UUAUGACGUACUUGUACUGAUUGAGAUUUUAACACGAAGUGAGUGGCGAACGGGUGAGUAACACGUGGGUAACCUGCCCAGAAGUAGGGGAUAACACCUGGAAACAGAUGCUAAUACCGUAUAACAGAGAAAACCGCAUGGUUUUCUUUUAAAAGAUGGCUCUGCUAUCACUUCUGGAUGGACCCGCGGCGUAUUAGCUAGUUGGUGAGGUAAAGGCUCACCAAGGCAGUGAUACGUAGCCGACCUGAGAGGGUAAUCGGCCACAUUGGGACUGAGACACGGCCCAGACUCCUACGGGAGGCAGCAGUAGGGAAUCUUCCACAAUGGACGCAAGUCUGAUGGAGCAACGCCGCGUGAGUGAAGAAGGGUUUCGGCUCGUAAAGCUCUGUUGUUAAAGAAGAACGUGGGUAAGAGUAACUGUUUACCCAGUGACGGUAUUUAACCAGAAAGCCACGGCUAACUACGUGCCAGCAGCCGCGGUAAUACGUAGGUGGCAAGCGUUAUCCGGAUUUAUUGGGCGUAAAGCGAGCGCAGGCGGUCUUUUAAGUCUAAUGUGAAAGCCUUCGGCUCAACCGAAGAAGUGCAUUGGAAACUGGGAGACUUGAGUGCAGAAGAGGACAGUGGAACUCCAUGU